AGUGAACGCUGGCGGUAGGCCUAACACAUGCAAGUCGAACGGCAGCACAGUAAGAGCUUGCUCUUACGGGUGGCGAGUGGCAGACGGGUGAGGAAUACAUCUGAAUCUACUUUUUCGUGGGGGAUAACGUAGGGAAACUUACGCUAAUACCGCAUACGACCUACGGGUGAAAGCAGGGGAUCUUCGGACCUUGCGCGAUUGAAUGAGCCGAUGUCGGAUUAGCUAGUUGGCGGGGUAAAGGCCCACCAAGGCGACGAUCCGUAGCUGGUCUGAGAGGAUGAUACGCCACACUGGAACUGAGACACGGUCCAGACUCCUACGGGAGGCAGCAGUGGGGAAUAUUGGACAAUGGGCGCAAGCCUGAUCCAGCCAUACCGCGUGGGUGAAGAAGGCCUUCGGGUUGUAAAGCCCUUUUGUUGGGAAAGAAAAGCAGCAGGUUAAUACCCCGCUGUUCUGACGGUACCCAAAGAAUAAGCACCGGCUAACUUCGUG
RNAcentral lists this ribosomal RNA (492 nucleotides) under uncultured bacterium. RNAcentral's name for it is "partial 16S ribosomal RNA". It matches the Rfam family "Bacterial small subunit ribosomal RNA", at positions 29 to 507 of the family's 1533-position model. The record is from RNAcentral.